AAAGUCCCCUUCGGGGGACAAGUAGAGUGGCGCACGGGUGAGUAACACGUAGGUAAUCUACCUUCGGAUGGGGAAUAACAACCGGAAACGGUUGCUAAUACCGCAUAAUGCAGCGGCACCUAAUGGUGACAGUUGUUAAAGCGGGGGAUCGCAAGACCUCGCGUCUGAAGAGGAGCCUGCGGCGGAUUAGCUAGUUGGUAAGGUAAUGGCUUACCAAGGCGACGAUCCGUAACCGGCCUGAGAGGGCGGUCGGUCACACUGACACUGACAUACGGGUCAGACUCCUACGGGAGGCAGCAGUCGGGAAUUUUGGGCAAUGGGCGCAAGCCUGACCCAGCAACGCCGCGUGAAGGAUGAAAUCCCUCGGGAUGUAAACUUCGCAAGAACGGGAAGAAUAAGUAGGGGACAAUACCCCCUAUGAUGACGGUACCGUUUGUAAGCUCCGGCUAACUCCGUGCCAGCAGCCGCGGUAAUACGGGGGGAGCAAGCGUUGUUCGGAUUUACUGGGCGUAAAGGGCGCGUAGGCGGCCAGCGCAAGUCAGUUGUGAAAUCUCCGAGCUUAACUCGGAAAGGUCAACUGAUACUGCGCGGCUAGAGUGCAGAAGGGGCAACUGGAAUUCUUGGUGUAGCGGUGAAAUGCGUAGAUAUCAAGAGGAACACCUGCGGCGAAGGCGGGUUGCUGGGCUGACACUGACGCUGAAGCGCGAAAGCUAGGGGAGCGAACGGGAUUAGAUACCCCGGUAGUCCUAGCCUUAAACGAUGAAUGCUUGGUGUCUGGGGUUAUAAAGUCCCCGGGUGCCGU
Molecule: ribosomal RNA, 802 nt
Filed under: uncultured Bacillota bacterium
Lineage: Bacteria; Bacillati; Bacillota
Description: bacterial SSU rRNA
Rfam family: Bacterial small subunit ribosomal RNA
Source: RNAcentral